GCGGGUCUGGCUGCGAGAGACCAUGGGGGCUCAGCUAAGCGGCGGCCGCGGCGCCCCGGAGCCUGCGCAAACCCAGCCCCAGCCCCAGCCCCAGCCUGCGGCGCCGGAGGGCCCGGAACAGCCCCGGCAUCCGCCCCAGCCCCAGCCCCAGCCCCAGCCCCAGCCCCAGCCCGAGCCCAGCCCGUGGGGGCCGCUGGACGACGUGCGCUUCCUCAUCGCCUGCACUUCCUGGUACUGACGGCGUCCUCCGCAGGAUGUCGCCCGUCUGUCCGCCGUCCCCUGUGGUUCUUGCCUGCCUUGUCUCCUCUCCCCACGUCCCUGCGUCUCUUACACCCCCUCCCACCCGAGGCUCCCCAGAGAUAGCAGAGAAUUCGAAGAGGUCGCCGGGGACUGGAAAGAAGUCCCGGCAGGGCCGCCUUCGCAGUCUACACCCCAGCCUGCUUCCCAGCCUACACCCAGACCCAGCUCAGACCUUCGUGACCACCCCAUCCCUUUCUCCGGCUGGCUGGGUCGGGGGCAUCCCUCUCUGUCGCUGGCUUCCAGAGGCAGGACAGGCCUCCUGGUCAUGUCCCAGGUCAUGGAGAAGCCCGUGCCACAGUGACCCUCCCCAUACUCCUGGGGGGGCUGCUCUCCAUCCUGGAUCGUAAGGAGGCAUCAUCAGGCUGUGUUCCUGGAACCCCAAUAACCCUGGGCCCCCAGGGCCAGCCUGUUGUAGAGGGAGGCUAUCUGACCGCCGGUCUGGCAGAGGAGAUGGGUGGGCAGCUCCCAGACACCCCAAAGGACCCGGUUCUCUUCCCAGAGCGUCCUAAGGUUACUCUUGGAACCUGAUCUUUGUUCCCUCAUCCCAGGGAAAUGACACACUCUGUAUUUCUGUUUUAUUUAGAAAUGAUUUAAAAAACAUUAUACAAAGGCUGAUCAGUUUAAAAUGUGACUGACACUGAAAUGCUGUGAUGUCCCCCAGGCUGAGGGGAAGCUAGGCUCUGGGGCCCCCAGUGCUUUGCCCCUCUGUCUGCCCUGUCCUGGGGUGAUGGACAAACAGAUGACCACAGGCAGGAGAAUCUGAGAUUGGAAGCCUCUAGGCUGAGCCCUCUGGGCCUGGCCCCACAUCCCUCACCUCUGCAGCCUGGGCUGCCUGCCUCCAUCUCCUGUUCAUUCUCAGCUGGCCUGCCAGGAGCCAAUGGGGAGCCUGGCGGGAGGCGGGGGUGCCUAGAGCUUUCAAGAAGUGAGAGCACCAACCUGAGGAGUGGACAGGGACCAGGAAGUGGGGGAAGGGAGGCCAGGAAGAGGUGGAUACAGGAGACACUUCUCAUCUCAUCUCAGACCCUAGAGGGGUCCACAGAUGGGGACACAAGACCCAGCCAGCCCACUGGAUGGCCCGGGCAAGUAACAACCUCUCUGUGCUUCAUCUGAGGGCACGGUGAGAGUUACCGUCGGCCUCCCAGGGCCUAACACGAGUUUCAUGUGAGUGGACAGGUGUGAGCUAAUAAAGUGCUUUGCAAAGUAUAAAACACUGUACAAACCUAUGAAUCACUAAUAUCUCCGCAGUUGUUCCCUGCCUGUCCCAGGGAGCCUGCCCUUGGCCAAAAUGAGAAAAAACAAGGAUGAUGACAGGGGACACAGCGGACCCACAUGGGCACCUCUGGG
This 1644-nucleotide long non-coding RNA is filed under the name Homo sapiens (human). RNAcentral describes it as "non-protein coding lnc-MMP24OS-73:14". The record is from RNAcentral. Lineage: Eukaryota; Metazoa; Chordata; Mammalia; Primates; Hominidae.